Molecule: ribosomal RNA, 498 nt
Filed under: uncultured bacterium
Lineage: Bacteria
Description: partial 16S ribosomal RNA
Rfam family: Bacterial small subunit ribosomal RNA
Source: RNAcentral
AGCGAACGCUGGCGGAAUGCUUUACACAUGCAAGUCGAACGGCAGCACGGGGCAACCUGGUGGCGAGUGGCGAACGGGUGAGUAAUACAUCGGAACGUGCCCAAUCGUGGGGGAUAACGUAGCGAAAGUUACGCUAAUACCGCAUACGAUCUACGGAUGAAAGCGGGGGAUCGCAAGACCUCGCGCGAAUGGAGCGGCCGAUGUCAGAUUAGGUAGUUGGUGGGGUAAAGGCUCACCAAGCCGACGAUCUGUAGCUGGUCUGAGAGGACGACCAGCCACACUGGGACUGAGACACGGCCCAGACUCCUACGGGAGGCAGCAGUGGGGAAUUUUGGACAAUGGGCGCAAGCCUGAUCCAGCCAUUCCGCGUGCAGGAUGAAGGCCUUCGGGUUGUAAACUGCUUUUGUACGGAACGAAACGGUUCUCUCUAAUACAGGGGGCUAAUGACGGUACCGUAAGAAUAAGCACCGGCUAACUACGUGCCAGCAGCCGCGGUAA